Non-coding RNA from Byssothecium circinans, 104 nucleotides. The record is from the annotation of a GenBank genome assembly. Lineage: Eukaryota; Fungi; Ascomycota; Dothideomycetes; Pleosporales; Massarinaceae.
GGGCUUGUGGUUUAGUGGUAUAAUUUUCCCUUAGCAUCUGAUUGGUCUAAUCAAGCCGGUCAAUGACAUGGGAAAGGUCCUGGGUUCGAUUCCCAGCAAGUCCA